This 946-nucleotide long non-coding RNA is filed under the name Erythranthe guttata (spotted monkey flower). RNAcentral describes it as "long non-coding RNA (EGUT_LNC000386)". Lineage: Eukaryota; Viridiplantae; Streptophyta; Magnoliopsida; Lamiales; Phrymaceae. The record is from RNAcentral.
CUUCGAUUUUUGAGAUAAUGAUGUCGACAUAAUGUUUGCAUAAUAAAUUUCAUUGCCGAACGUGAAUAAAUAUAUCGAUCGACUUAUUAUUGCAUUAUUGAAAAUAAAAAAUCGAAGAAGUUAUGAUAUAUGGAUAAUGCAAACACAAAAAUAAAUUGUACCAUAGUCUACUGUGGAAAAUUACAAUAAACAUGAAAAUGAAUGCAUAAUGUCAAAUAAACACAGUACCAAACAUUGCAAGUUAAAUAUGAUAUUAAGAACUAAUUGCAAGUGAAUCCCGCCAGCUAAUCCAUUCAUCGGAUAUCUCGACUGUCUCAAUGAAGUUGCUACGAUUGAUGGGGGUUAUAUAAUUUUUUCCGGUACUUCGUAUUCUUCGCGAUCAUGGUCACUAUUCGUACAAAUAAAGUUAUGCCAAAUAAGCAACACGACAUAAUAAUUCCAUUUUUUUUUUUGAUCAGAUAAUACGAGGGGCUUAAGUAUCCCAAAUGCUCAUUCUAUUGCAUUACGUGUCUUUGCGUGCUUCAAGUUAAAAUAUUCUUCAUGGACACGUACCAAAUUUGUACCAUCACUGAACUCCUGGAGAUGAUACCUAGUAUUUUUGUAUGGUGCCAAAAAUCCAUUCCUAUUAGUAUACCCGUUGUCAACUAAGUAAUAAUGCCCUAGAAAGCGUGGAUUUAAUAGGGACUAUUAAAGGUACUUAGUAUUAAUAAAUAUGUAAAGGGUACAAAUGAUGACUAAAAAAAAAUUCCUACCCUUUGGAACUAGUAGACCAUUGUGUCGAAUAAUAGCGUCUCGUAGAAUCCUACUAUCGGCGGCGGAUCCCUCCCAACCGGUUUCAUGAUGGGAAAUAACAUGCAAGAACAAGGUAGUUUCCUCUAUAAUUGAGAUGUUCCUAGUGGCGACCAAUCCACCAACAUUUUCAAGGAGGUAAAAAAACUGUAAUGUC